UAAAUCAAUUCAAAAAUCAAUAAAACUAUUCGGUUCGAUUCGGUUUAACCAAUUUUUUUUCUCUUCAAAACAGAACCGAACUGAAAUAACCGAAAUUUUUAUAAUAUAAAACCGAACCAAACCGAAUUAUAUUAAAAAUCGAACCAAAUUACCGAAUUAAAGCGGUUCAGUUUGAUUUAUUCGAUUUGAACUGAAUAAUGCUCACCCCUAGACUUAUUUCCUCUUAAGUAGCACUGUUAUAUUCCGGUAUUCCCCUUUUAAGAAAAAUGAUUCGUAGUUAACAUCAGUCCACUGUGAAUUGGUGAUGAUCAUGACAACAUUUUGGCUUCAGAAAAUCUAGUGGGUUCAUUCUAACUGCAAGUGUGUAUUCAUAAAUAAAAAAUAAAAAAAAAAUGAAAAGAGCAUAAAAUAUGUUGUAAUAAUUUAUUCCUCUUGCCGAUAGUCACCUGUGUUAGCUGCAAGAUUGCGUUGACAGACACCUUCAAAAUCAUCACAGAUGUCCCUAAUGUCUUCAA
This 515-nucleotide unclassified non-coding RNA is filed under the name Hevea brasiliensis (rubber tree). The record is from RNAcentral. Lineage: Eukaryota; Viridiplantae; Streptophyta; Magnoliopsida; Malpighiales; Euphorbiaceae.